UUUUUUUUUUAGGGAUAAUUUAACAGGUUCGCUUGGUGAACAGCGGAGGGAAUCAUUACCGAAUUUGCUUUACGCAAACCCGGUGUGAACCCUUCCCCCCUCCAGGGGGGCGCGCCCGAUCGGGCCUGCUCCCGGGGGGGGUUAAUCUCCAAAAAAGAUUUCACUUACGGCGUUGCUUCGGCGGGAAGACCGCCGAACGGCGCCCAAGCCAUCUGUAUCUUUUUCAGUGUCUCUGAAUGGGCAAUUUUGAAACAAGUAAAAACUUUCAACAACGGAUCUCUUGGUUCUGGCAUCGAUGAAAGAAACGCAGCGAAAUGCGAUAAGUAAUGUGAAUUGCAGAAUUCAUGAAUCAUCGAAUCUUUGAACGCACAUUGCACCCGGCGGUAUUCCGCCGGGUAUGCCUGUUUGAGCGUCAUUUCAACCCUCUGAAACUUUGUUUUUUCAGGCGUUGAGGAUCCGCCCUGGCUAUGGCGGCGGUCCUCCAAGUACAGUGGCGAGCCCGCUGUCGUUCCCCUGCGUAGUAGAACCUUAGCUCGUCUCGCACAGGAACGCGGCCGGAGCCUCUGCCUCGCUCACCCAAAGCCUUUCAAGUUGACCUCAAAUCAGGUAGGGAUACCCGCUGAACUUAAGCAUAUCAAUAAGCGGAGGAAAAGAAACCAACAGGGAUUGCCUCAGUAACGGCGAGUGAAGCGGCAACAGCUCAAAUUUGAAAUCUGGCCCCCCCGGGUCCGAGUUGUAAUUUUGCAGAGGAUGCUUUUGGUUAGGUACCUUUCCGAGUUCCCUGGAAUUGGGACGCCCAUAGAGGGGUGAGAGCCCCCGUACGGUCGGAAUGCCGAGCCCUCUGUAUAGCUCCCCUCGACGAGUCGAGUAGUUUUGGGAAAUGCUGCUCAAAAUGGGAAGGUAAACCCCCUUUCUAAAGCUAAAUAUUGGCCAGAGACCCGAUAGCGCACAAGUAAGAGUGAUUCGAAAAGAUGAAAAGCACUUUGGAAAGAGAGUUUAAAAAGCACGUGAAAUUGUUGAAAGGGAAGCGCUUGUGACCAGACUUGCGCCUGUCAGUUCAGCCGUCCUUCUGGGCGGUGUAUUCUGUCGGCUCAGGCCAGCAUCAGUUUGUCGUUGGGGAGAAAGGCAGUGGGAAUGUGGCUCUUUCGGAAGUGUUAUAGCCCGCUGCUAUGCCCUCCGUCAGACUGAGGACCGCGCUUUGCAAGGAUGUGCUAUGAAAUGUUACAACACCCUUGAAAGGAAAAAAA
Molecule: ribosomal RNA, 1247 nt
Filed under: Ascomycota sp. L253
Lineage: Eukaryota; Fungi; Ascomycota
Description: eukaryotic LSU rRNA
Rfam family: Eukaryotic large subunit ribosomal RNA (bases 593-1247)
Source: RNAcentral